CCACCGCGUUGGGCGGUGACUGGAGAGUGGAGCUCCUCCUCUGAGCCGUCAGAAGAGUCUCCGAGAGCUGGCGGCCGCCACCGCGUUUUUCGAGAGGGCCCGGAGAAAGCUAACGCUGUUCUGUCAGCGGAGCUUCACGUUCUCCUGAGAAGUGAUCAAUGUGUGACUUAAGCCCGUUCUGGGAAAGCACGUAGGAGCGGCCCGUACCAGAUGGAAAGUUAAAGUUAACUGAGGAGGGAAGGAACACAGAUCAAUCUAACGUAGCUUUCCGGCUGGUAGCUCUUACCUACAGUUUAGUGAUGCGACCUGACCGGACUGGGUGGCGAGGCCGCGUAGCAAAAUGAACGAUGUAUAUUUUGCUCAGGUUAAAGAAAGUUUCUGACGAACCUGAAAUGAGACGGAAUCAGAAGUGACGCAUUAUUUAUUGGAACAACAUGCUGUUAGGUUUCUACCGUCUGUGGAACAUGGAAUCACACCAGAAUAUGUUGGCACAACAGGCCAGUCAGACCGGUUCUUCUUUAGAUCCAGAACCCGUCCAACCAGUCUGCAUCAAAGGCUAGCCCAACAAGCUGCAGCGGCUCAGCUCUGCUAAGCUUGUACCAGGUGAGUUAUCCCCACCUCCCGUCAACUCCCAACAAACUGCUCAGAAUGUUGUAGCCUCCAGCAAAAUAAUUCAGAGUUCUAGUGGGAGGGGUAGAUCUGUGUCAGGUACAGCAAGCGUCCAUUGUUAUACACCUCUCAUUGUAGAUAACUUGAGAGUCUGUCAUCCUCAGAGGUAGGUAAUCCUUUUUUAAAUGUACUCCAUGGCUCUGCAGACUAAAGCCUCUAGAAAGAGAUUACAAUGAAGAAGAAUCCAUAAUGCCUGACCUUUCCACUAGUCCACUUGGUCUAGCUCAGCCUUGAGGGGGUGUUGUUAUUCCCCACAAGGGCAGUGGCCCUGAGAGUUUGAAGGAAGCAUUUCUAGAGGGAGGAAAACAAGAUGUGAAUUGACCAGACAUUUGUCUGGGUGUGUUAUCUUUCUUGUACUCAAAUGAUCCUCAUACCAUUCCAGUUUUAAAAUUGGAAAAACUCCUAUUUCUACAUACUAGGACAACUUGGAGAGGUUUUACUUUGGAUAUUCAACAGUUGAACACAAAUUCAUGAUAACUACUAUAUGCCAGGAACUGUGCCAGGUAAAGGGUUACAAUGGUGAAAAAAGACAAAUUUAGUAAGAGAUGGGAGCAAUGUCCAGAUUCCCAGUUAAACACGUCUACUAAUCAUUUGGAUGGAGGAAGUGAGCAACACAAGAUCACAUUUUGACAAAAAUUGGUUUGUAUUAAGAGAGAUCAUGUGAGAUUUGUUUUUACUCUCUCAUGAUACACAUUUAGAAACAGUCUUUUCUAUCUGCUGAUGGAGUGAUUCUACAACUUUCCUGCUUAAGUAUAACCUGAAGUUUAUACUGGACCUCACCUCCAGAGAUUACUGGACCUUACCUCCAGAGAUUCUGAUUGAGUAGGUCUGGGGUGUUAUCCAAGUAUUGAUACUUACAGCGAUCCUGCUGCAGUUGUUGCAGGGACAUGGGCUUAGCCUCUGGUGCUCAGCUUCUUUUCUAUUUUUGUACCUAAUUAAAUAGACUAUAUUAAUCACAAGUUGCCAUAUUCAUCUUUAUAUCUCUAGUGUCUAGCACAGACACUUAGAAAGUGUUUAAUAAAUGCUUAUUGAGGAAAUACCUACUCAGGGACAACACUUGCUAGAUCCCAGGGGUAUCACAACUAGUAAGUGUUAUAUGAAUCAAACUGCAUUAAGAACUGUAAUUAGAAUAACUCAGGUAGUAGCGCAGAAAAGGGAGCAAGUGCGACUGAGUAUAGGAGAUUACAAAGGAGAUUGGUUUAGAGACUUUCCUUUUUAACCAUGACCAAAGAUUGCUAUCUGCAGGAUAACAAAAGGUUGAGGGAACAAUAAAAAGAAUGCCUUUGAUAGAAGUAACAAAAGUUUUAGGUACCUGAGGACACCAUGACCUCAACACUUAGUAAUAAGGUUAUUUUCUAUAGCAGGUGUCAGCAGAUUUUUCCAUAAAGGAUCAGAGAUUAAGUAUUUUAGGGUUUGUGGGCCAGAUUGUUUCUGUUUCAGGUAUUCAACUCUAACAUUGUAGCACAAAAGCAGAUAUAAAGAGUAGUCAAUGAAUGGGGUGGCUGUGUUCCAAUAAAAUUUUAUAAACAAGUGACAGGCUGGAUUUAACCUCUGCUCUAGAGUGUAGCUUGUGAAAAUUAGCAAGUUUGCAUAAUUGGUUGGGAAAAUAGGGUUGGAAGUCAAAAAGUCUAUCUCUUCCACAGAAUCCUGCAAAAUUUCAGGAAUUGGAGGCAUAAGGUACCUCUAAAUAGUCUUUGGGUAUUGGGCAGGGGUGGGGGGAAUUUGAAGUAGAGGAUUGGUUGAAAAUAUGCUUAAGCAACAGUUUGCUCCCUAGAUCCCUUCCCCAGCCCAGGAGCCUGGAGACUGCCCCUCUUCAACGUUGAUGAAAGACAGGUAGGACUUGUUGAUUCAUGCUGGGAGAGAUUGUCCCAGGUUGGUUUUGGACUUGAGAAUACUAGGCAGAGCUGGGGGUAAAUGGUAAAGUAAUGAGAUUGUAUUAGUUUCAUAAGGCUGCUGUAACAAAUUGCCAGAAAUUUAGUGGUUUAAAAGGACACAUAUUUAUUAUCUUACAGAUCUGGGGGCGGAAGUCCAAAAUGGGUCUCACUGGGUUGAAAUCAGCAGGGUUGACAUUCUAAGAUAUAGAGAGUCAGCCAGGUUGAAUUCUUUUCUGGAAGCUCUAGGGGAGAAUCUUCUUGUCUUUCCCAGCUUCUAAAGGCCGCCUGUGUUUUUGGCUCAUGGCCCCUUCCUAUCUUCAAAGCCAGCAAUGGCCAGUCAACUCUUUCUUACAUUGCAUCAUUCUGACAUUGCUUCUGCGCCUUCCUCUUUCAUAUUUAAAUCCAGUUGUAUAAUCCAGAAUAAUGUCCCCAUUUUAAGGUCAACUGAUUAUCAACCUUAAUUUUAUCUGCAAUCUUAAUUCUCCUCUACUAUGUAACAGAACAUAUUCACAGGUUCCCAGGAUUAGGAUGUGGACAUCUUUGAGAGACCAUUAUUCUGCCUACCACAGAGAUUAGGUCAAAGUUUCCAAAUUGAAUAGUGAGAUGGCCAGAUCCAUUCCGCUGCAUGGCUUCUGAAUGCUGAUAACGAGGUUCAUACUCCUCACUCUGAAAGCAGAAAACUGGAGAAUUUCUCUCCAAGAAACUCUCAAGACUCUCAUCACCCUAAGACAGUGGUUAUUAACUAGGGAUGAUUUUGCCCCUAGGGGCCAUUUGGCAAUAUCUGGAGAAAUUUUUGAUUGUAAACAACUGGGGAAAGUAGAAGAGAGUUGUGCUACUGGCAUCUAUUGGAUAAGGGCCAGGGAUGCUACUAAACAUCUUACAAUGCACAGGAAAGCACAUCCUCUACCUCCCUCACUGCUUCCCUACAUAAUUUUCUGAUCCAAAAUGUUAGUAGUGCCAAAGAUGAGAAACCCUACUCUAAUGUUAAGCCUACCAGUCAAUAUCACCCUAAUAUAAAUAAAUAAGUCCCACCUAGGCACACAGAGUUGCAAAUCAGUAUUUUUAUGCCUCAUUCUAAGAUACAGAGAGUAUCUAACAUGAAAGAGACAAAAAGAAACUAGUAGAUAAAAAGAACUUACAGAAAAUAGUGUAGGGAACAGAAUAAUAAUAAUUUAAAAUAUCCACUAUAAGAAUUUCUUCAAAGAAACAAGAGAAGAUACUGAAUACAUGAAACAGGAACAGAAGUCUAUCUAAAAGUGGUACUUUUGGAGAAUAAAAAAGAGAUAUUGGAAAGUAAAAAUAUGGUGGCAGGCAGAAAUAAAGCCAACAGGAGUUGGAAGAUAAAAUUGAGGAAAUCUACCGGAAGUAAAAUUAAGAAAGUACUGAAGGAUGUGUUACAAAAUAAGAAUAAAUUGAAAAAGAUGAAAUAUGGAAUCCAGAAGUAGCUCCAUUUCUUCUCUUUGCUUAAAGUUCAACAUGGCCACCAGUCCCAAGACCACAGCACUCUAUAGGGUCACUGCACACUAGUAAGUUAUUGAAGACUCUGUGAUUUUUACUUCAAAUUCACAUUGCCUAUGAUUGAGGGAAGAAAAGGGAAGUGGGGCAGAGGGGGAGAGAGAGAGAGAGAGAAGAGGAGAGAAAGAGAUGUGAAUAUGAUUAGUUUUUGGUUUUAGAUUUAAAUUUAAAAGAUUUUCUUAAAUGCAAGUAUUCACUUUACCCUUUACCAAGGGUUAAUGUUCACAGAUCAUAAAAUGAGGAAGGCAGUCAAACUGGUACAAGUACAAACGUGCACCUGCAGAAAAAGUUUGCAUAAACAUUCAUAUCUGCCAAUAUUCAUAAGUAAAGGUUUGCAACAUUCUAUCCAACAGCUAGUAAAACUUGAUUACAAUGAAGUUAAGAGCAUGUUUUACCUGAAUAAACCCAAAUCAGGAAAACCUGAUUUUGAGCUUGCCUCAAUUGUCCUUAGAGUAUGGAAACAUGGAUUAGUUAUUUAUUUAACAUCCUGAGCCUCAAUUGCUUCAUUUAUUAAAUGAGGGAGUGUGAUUGGAUAUAUUCUAAACAUCUAUUCAGCUCAACACUUUUAUUCGAAAGUUCUUUUGGGCAAGUGAACAAUUCAAAAAAAUAUGGGAGCAAAAGCAAGAUAGACCAAUCAAGGAGACAUUUUACAGAAGAGAAAUUAUAAAAUGCAAGUUAAUUUUUGGUUGUAUAUUCUCCAAAAGUUGACACUGAAAUAUGGAUUCACAUUCAAGUGAUUUAUUAGAAAUAUGCUCCGAUAUGAAACUAGUUAGGGAGUGAGGAAGGAAGGACCAGAAAGAAGAAUAAGAAAAGCAAGGGUAUGAUUUCAGCUCAGCCUGGUGCCAGGGAGCUCUAGACCAUAAAUUACAAGGAAAGAAUUUAUCCCACCUAGAGGCAAAGGAAAAGGCUUUCAUACUCCUGAACCAUUCACUGCCUACUGGCUGCUCCAGGGAUUUGUAAACUUCCAGGCACUUUCAGCUCUCCAUGAGAAGUGUUUCUAGUAACCUGAGAACGUUCCUUUGAAGAAGGUUGUAGGUGCUAUAACAUUAAGAGUGAAGCAUUAAUAUUCCUGCUUCCAGCCAAGAUGAAGAUAUAGGAAUCAGAUUUAUCCUACCACCUAAAAAAGCAACAAGGGUAAAAUGUAUAAAACAGUGGUUUUCAAGACAUUGUGCAUCAGUCAACAAAGAACAGUUAUCUCUAGAGAGAGAGUAAACAAACAAGGUGAGUCCCACAAUCACUCCAGCUUACUGCCAGGAGAGAGUAUCCAGGCCAUGGAGAAGAGAGGGAUUCCUCAGGUAGAGUUUAGUGGUCUUAUGGAGGUUGUCAGAUUGGAUAAAAAUGCAAAACCCAACUGUGUACUCCCCUCAAUAAACAUAUUUUUAGAUAUAAAGAUGCAGAUAGGUUAAAAGUAAAAGGAUCAAAAAAAUAUGCCAUGCUAAUACUAAUCAAAAGACAUCUGGAGUGGCUAUAUUAAUCAGACAAAAUAGGUUUUAGAUCAGAGAAUAUUACUAAGGACAAAAAGGGUGAUUUCAAAAUGAUAAAGAGGUGAAUUCAUCAAGGAAACCUAAUAAUCCUACACAUUUAUGUAUCUAAUCAUGUAAAUAAAAAAUAUGUGAAGCAAAGGCUGAUAGAACAGAAAGGAUAACAGAACAAAUCAAUAAUUAUAUUUAGUAGCUGUAUUUGGAGAUUUCAACAGCCCUUACUCAAAAAUUGAUACAUAAAUAGACAGGAAAUCAGUAAGAGUGUAGAAGACAACACUAUCAAUAAUCUUGAUUUAAUUGACAUUUGUAGAUCCCUCAGCCUAAAAACAACUGAAUGCACAUGUUUCUUCAAAUGUACCUGGAACAUUUACCAAGUUAGACCAUUUUCUAUGUUCUAAAAUGUCUCAAAUUUAAAUAGAUUCAAGUCAUACGAAGUAUGUUUUUGAGCUCAGGAGAAUUAAAUUAGAAGUCAAUACAAGAAUAAUGUGUGGAAAAUCUCCAAAUAUUUGUAAACUAAGUAACACACUCUUAAAUAACUCAUGGGUCAGUGAUGGAAUAAAAUGGGAAAUUAGGAAGUAUUUUGAGAUAAAUGGUAAUAAAAACACAACAUACUAAAAUUUGUGAGGUAAAAUAUAUAGUUAAAUUCAGAAUGCUCUAAUGUUGUAAUGGUGGUAGGUAACUCAUUUAUAAAUACAGUAAGAAGGUUAAAAGAUAAAAGUAUUAAAAAUAACUAUAAUUAUUUGUUAAUGGAUACACAAGGUAAAAAGAUGUAAAUUGUGAUAUCAAAAACAAAAUGUUGGCUGGGGGG
This is a long non-coding RNA of Phocoena sinus (vaquita), 6347 nucleotides long. NCBI's taxonomy places the organism in Eukaryota, Metazoa, Chordata, Mammalia, Artiodactyla, Phocoenidae. The record is from Ensembl.